Trichonephila inaurata madagascariensis is the source of this 71-nucleotide non-coding RNA. The record is from the annotation of a GenBank genome assembly. Lineage: Eukaryota; Metazoa; Arthropoda; Arachnida; Araneae; Nephilidae.
GGGGGGAUAGCUCGGGGGUAGAGCAUUUGACUGCAAAACGAGAGGCCCCGGUUCAAACUCGGGUCUCCUCU